This 492-nucleotide ribosomal RNA is filed under the name uncultured bacterium. RNAcentral's name for it is "partial 16S ribosomal RNA". It matches the Rfam family "Bacterial small subunit ribosomal RNA", at positions 29 to 507 of the family's 1533-position model. The record is from RNAcentral.
AGUGAACGCUGGCGGUAGGCCUAACACAUGCAAGUCGAACGGCAGCACAGUAAGAGCUUGCUCUUACGGGUGGCGAGUGGCGGACGGGUGAGGAAUACAUCGGAAUCUACUUUUUCGUGGGGGAUAACGUAGGGAAACUUACGCUAAUACCGCAUACGACCUACGGGUGAAAGCAGGGGAUCUUCGGACCUUGCGCGAUUGAAUGAGCCGAUGUCGGAUUAGCUAGUUGGCGGGGUAAAGGCCCACCAAGGCGACGAUCCGUAGCUGGUCUGAGAGGAUGAUCAGCCACACUGGAACUGAGACACGGUCCAGACUCCUACGGGAGGCAGCAGUGGGGAAUAUUAGACAAUGGGCGCAGGCCUGAUCCAGCCAUACCGCGUGGGUGAAGAAGGCCUUCGGGUUGUAAAGCCCUUUUGUUGGGAAAGAAAAGCAGCAGGUUAAUACCCCGCUGUUCUGACGGUACCCAAAGAAUAAGCACCGGCUAACUUCGUG